UACGAAGGGGGCUAGCGUUGCUCGGAAUCACUGGGCGUAAAGCGCACGUAGGCGGUUUCUUAAGUCAGGGGUGAAAUCCUGGAGCUCAACUCCAGAACUGCCUUUGAUACUGGCGAUCUCGAGUCCGGGAGAGGUGAGUGGAACUGCGAGUGUAGAGGUGAAAUUCGUAGAUAUUCGCAAGAACACCAGUGGCGAAGGCGGCUCACUGGCCCGGUACUGACGCUGAGGUGCGAAAGCGUGGGGAGCAAACAGG
Molecule: ribosomal RNA, 253 nt
Filed under: uncultured bacterium
Lineage: Bacteria
Description: partial 16S ribosomal RNA
Rfam family: Bacterial small subunit ribosomal RNA
Source: RNAcentral